CCUACGGGUGGCAGCAGUAGGGAAUUUUGCGCAAUGGGGGAAACCCUGACGCAGCAACGCCGCGUGAUCGAUGAAGCCUUUCGGGGUGUAAAGAUCUGUCAGUGGGGACGAAAACUGACGGUACCCACAGAGGAAGCACCGGCUAACUCCGUGCCAGCAGCCGCGGUAAUACGGGGGGUGCAAGCGUUGUCCGGAAUCAUUGGGCGUAAAGGGUUCGUAGGGGGCAGGGUAAGUCUGGUGUGAAAGCCCAAAGCUCAACCUUGGUACUGCACUGGAAACUGUCGAGCUGGAGUGCGGGAGAGGUAAGGGGAAUUCCUGGUGUAGCGGUGAAAUGCGUAGAUAUUAGGAGGAACACCAGUGGCGAAGGCGCUUUACUGGACCGUAAUUGACGUUGAGGAACGAAAGCGGGGGGAGCAAACAGGAUUAGAUACCCCGGUAGUC
This 441-nucleotide ribosomal RNA is filed under the name uncultured bacterium. RNAcentral describes it as "partial 16S ribosomal RNA". It matches the Rfam family "Bacterial small subunit ribosomal RNA", at positions 338 to 795 of the family's 1533-position model. The record is from RNAcentral.